RNAcentral lists this ribosomal RNA (468 nucleotides) under uncultured bacterium. RNAcentral's name for it is "partial 16S ribosomal RNA". It matches the Rfam family "Bacterial small subunit ribosomal RNA", at positions 28 to 507 of the family's 1533-position model. The record is from RNAcentral.
GACGAACGCUGGCGGCGUGCUUAACACAUGCAAGUCGAACGGAAAGGCCCUGCUUUUGCGGGGUUCUUGAGUGGCGAACGGGUGAGUAACACGUGAGUAACCUGCCCUUGACUUUGGGAUAACUUCACGAAACUCGGGCUAAUACCGGAUAGGAGCUCCUGCUGCAUGUGGGGGGAUGGAAAGUUUCGGCGGUUGGGGAUGGACUCGCGGCUUAUCAGCUUGUUGGUGGGGUAGUUGCUUACCAAGGCUUUGACGGGUAGCCGGCCUGAGAGGGUGACCGGCCACAUUAGGACUGAGAGACGGCCCAGACGCCUACGGGAGGCAGCAGUGGGGAAUAUGGCACAAUGGGCGGAAGCCUGAGGCAGCGACGCCGCGUGCGGGAUGACGGCCUUCGGGGUGUAAACCGCUGUCGCCUGUGACGAAGCGUGAGUGACGGUAAUGGGUAAAGAAGCACCGGCUAACUACGUG